Camellia sinensis is the source of this 1093-nucleotide long non-coding RNA. RefSeq lists it as uncharacterized. The record is from RefSeq and is a predicted model, not a curated record. Lineage: Eukaryota; Viridiplantae; Streptophyta; Magnoliopsida; Ericales; Theaceae.
UCUCUCUCCUUGCUGUUUUUGCUUUGCCACUUUUGAAAAAAUCUCACAUCCCAACUAACUAUAUAAAGGUAAAGCGCUGCCGUAUGCAUUUUGUGUGAGAGGUUGUUGAAAAUGAGACCGUUUGAACCACGGGUUGUGGCUCCGCCACCGCCUGAAUCUGCUCUUCAAGCACCGCCGCCUCUGCCUCUGCCGUCUGAAUCAGUAGUUCAAGUUCCUCCUGAAUUGCCGAUGCUAGUCGUAGAGUUCUGCUUGACAGCAGCUUUUGAAAUUGCCAUCCGAUCCACACAGACUCCUACUACGCAAUACUACUCUAUAACCUUCCACUUGGUGUGUCUGGUAAUGGUGUUUGCGUUUGCUUUUAUCUUUGUUGCCAAAUACAUUUCUUCCAAGCACCCGAACCUAGGCCGCGUGCUCGAGCACGCUGGAGUAGUCUGUGGAGUUACCGCUUUCUUUGUUGCCAUCACAGUCUCUUUCCCGCUCUGCCUCAAGGUCAUUUCCUGGAUCGUAUACGCUCUUUCAUUGCUAGCAAUUUUCAUCUUCAAUUGCUGAAUCCUAGCAGAGACGAUUGUCACUGUCUCAGUCAGGGAUUGGAAAUAAGAAAAGAAGCAUGGAAUGGAAUAACAGAUACAUCUCUUAUUGAAUAUAACUUCAAAAGCCCGAUGAGUGAUGACCGCUUGGCCAAUCACGAUGAUCCGUGAUGCUAUUACUGGAAUAAGACAACCAACUUCGCUGGAUAAUUGUACUUGAUUGAUUAGCAUAAGCAAAUAAUAUGAAGUACCAAGCACUUAGAAGGUAUUGAUCAUUCUCAGUGACUCCUAUUAGUUCUCCUCUGUCAUUUUACAUCCUUUAACAUUUACUCAUUAUGGAUGACUGCAUAUUUCAAAAAACUCACAGAAUUUGACUUUCUUCAUAGAAUACUUACAUGUUGGAAGCGGUGAAGCUGUAAUAUCUACUCAGAUAGUUCUCGCAUCCUAAUUAUCUCUAACAUAUGAGUGAUUUUAUCUAUACAUUUUCCACUUAUUAUGUUAAUGAAUUCAAAUUUCCAGUUGUAGAAUGUUUAUAAAUGAAACACUGUCAACGGCAGAUCCUUGGA